Molecule: ribosomal RNA, 502 nt
Filed under: uncultured bacterium
Lineage: Bacteria
Description: partial 16S ribosomal RNA
Rfam family: Bacterial small subunit ribosomal RNA
Source: RNAcentral
AUUGAACGCUAGCGGCAUGCCUUACACAUGCAAGUCGAACGGCAGCGGGGGAGCUUGCUCCCGCCGGCGAGUGGCGAACGGGUGAGUAAUACAUCGGAACGUACCCAGUAGCGGGGGAUAGCCCGGCGAAAGCCGGAUUAAUACCGCAUACGCCCUACGGGGGAAAGGGGGGGAUCGCAAGACCUCUCACUAUUGGAGCGGCCGAUGGCUGAUUAGCUAGUUGGUGGGGUAAAGGCCUACCAAGGCGACGAUCAGUAGCUGGUCUGAGAGGACGGCCAGCCACACUGGGACUGAGACACGGCCCAGACUCCUACGGGAGGCAGCAGUGGGGAAUUUUGGACAAUGGGCGAAAGCCUGAUCCAGCAAUGCCGCGUGUGCGAAGAAGGCCUUCGGGUUGUAAAGCACUUUUGUCAGGGAAGAAAUCGUUUGGGUUAAUACCCCGAGCAGUUGACGGUACCUGAAGAAUAAGCACCGGCUAACUACGUGCCAGCCGCCGCGGUAA